Molecule: ribosomal RNA, 257 nt
Filed under: uncultured bacterium
Lineage: Bacteria
Description: partial 16S ribosomal RNA
Rfam family: Bacterial small subunit ribosomal RNA
Source: RNAcentral
CGGACGGGUGAGUAACACGUAGAGAACCUACCUUACACAGGGGGACGAACGGCUGGAAACGGCUGCUAAUACCGCAUAAGCACCCAGUUUCGCAUGAAACAGAGUGAAAAGAGUAAAUCGGUGUAAGAUGGCUCUGCGUCUGAUUAACUAGUUGGUGGGGUAAAGGCUCACCAAGGCGACGAUCAGUAGCCGGCCUGAGAGGGCGACCGGCCACAUUGGGACUGAGACACGGCCCAGACUCCUACGGGAGGCAGCAG